GCUACAGUGCUACUGGCCCAUAAUCAGGCAACUGCAGAGUCUUAGGGGGUUAUCUAAUGUAGUCUUGGGGUGGCUGGAUAGACUUCCCAAAGAAGGUGAUGCCGAAGCUGAGGUCGGAAAUUACGAAGAUCAGCUAUAUUGUGCCUGCAGCCUGGCCUGUUGCCCACAGCGGUCUACCUGCCACACUGGGAAAGAUCGAGCAGAGACAGAGAAGAAAAGGAGGCUCCAUUUUUCAGGCUGCUCUCCCGCAGGCUCAUGUUUUGUGUUCAUGCCAGGCAGAGAACACAAAAUGUUCCAAUAAAUAAGUAUCAAAGAGAAACAUCAUCAGUGGUGUAGAAGAGCUCAGGGAAGCAAGGAGGGCUGCUGUGAAUGACACCAUGAAUUUCUGAAUGUGAUGUCCCUUCAAUUCAUGAGGAAUGAAGCAACGAUAUCUCCUAAAACACCAGGGUAAGUGAUGGGGAGACCACAAAUUAUAUUAUGUAUCUAUUGGGUAAUAUUUCGCACCCUUAAGGACAGAGACUAGUGAAGGAAGAAGAGAACUAUUUCACCCCUACAACACCUAGGAACAUCAGCCAAAUGUAAACUGGUGGAUCACGUCAUUUUACAGUGAAAAUAGCCCCUGAUGUAAGGGGUCCAUUAAUGUAGGAGAUACAAAAUUACAUCAGGAGAUCUUGAGUUCCAAUAUCCCUUGACCACCAUUCCCUCUCAAUCCUCUGACCUUGAACAUUUCUCUUCUAGUUAUAUUGAAAAGUAUCCCAUAUACCUUAUCUAAUUUAAUCUUCUCAACAGCUUUAUGAGUUUGGUAUUCUCCUUCUCAUUUUACAAAUUAGAAAAUUACUGCUCAAAUAGUUUAAGUGUAUGUUAUCCAAAUGUACCAAGUGACAGAACUGGAACUUCCACACAGGUCUUUCUUGCCAACAAGCCAUACAAAAGCUUUACCCUAAAAUAAACUAUCUCUGGAAGCUUCGAAUUAGAAUGCACCUCUAAGGGGUAAAACUUAAUUCACUAAUGAGGAAGAGAAUUUUCUAGAAACCUCUCAGGGAUGGAAAGAAUUAAUUCUAAGCCCAAUUCCCUCAAUAUCUAAACAUCUUGGAAAUGAGAUACUUUAAAGCUGUUUUUGUUCUCUAGGGUGCUAUUUAGUGCCUGAAGAAAUAAUCCACUAAAAGUGUCUUACCUCACUAAACUACUAGUAGCUUUCCAACAAAUAAUCAAAACACUCCAUGUGCCCAAAGAUGAAUUCAAUCAUCAGGCAAGCUACAGAGAAUAAAUAGAAAUAUAAUUCU
Homo sapiens (human) is the source of this 1283-nucleotide long non-coding RNA. Ensembl annotates it as CCDC26 long non-coding RNA. Its record names the gene CCDC26. Lineage: Eukaryota; Metazoa; Chordata; Mammalia; Primates; Hominidae. The record is from Ensembl.